GAUGAACGCUGACAGAAUGCUUAACACAUGCAAGUCAACUUGAACUUCGGUUUGGGUGGCGGACGGGUGAGUAACGCGUAAAGAACUUGCCUCACAGCUAGGGACAACAUUUGGAAACGAAUGCUAAUACCUGAUAUUAUGAUUUUAGGGCAUCCUAGAAUUAUUGAAAGCUAUAUGCGCUGUGAGAGAGCUUUGCGUCCCAUUAGCUAGUUGGAGAGGUAACGGCUCACCAAGGCGAUGAUGGGUAGCCGGCCUGAGAGGGUGAACGGCCACAAGGGGACUGAGGCACGGCCCUUACUCCUACGGGAGGCAGCAGUGGGGAAUAUUGGACAAUGGACCAAGAGUCUGAUCCAGCAAUUCUGUGUGCACGAUGAAGUUUUUCGGAAUGUAAAGUGCUUUCAGUUGGGAAGAAAAAAAUGACGGUACCAACAGAAGAAGUGACGGCUAAAUACGUG
RNAcentral lists this ribosomal RNA (455 nucleotides) under uncultured bacterium. Its description in RNAcentral is "partial 16S ribosomal RNA". It matches the Rfam family "Bacterial small subunit ribosomal RNA", at positions 28 to 507 of the family's 1533-position model. The record is from RNAcentral.